UCUCCACAGCUGCCUCUCUUUGCUGCAAGACCCCUGUCCACACAGCAGGAAGCACGAAAAUCCAGGCAGGAUGGCUUAAGGGCUUGAGAAAAGAACUAAAGGCAUCUGGGCUGACAAAGGAUCAGAGCUCCUUGGCUGUGGCAGAUCCACAGGGUAUUCACUGUGUGAAGAUGAUACAUGAUGGUCCUAACCAUCAUGGACAGGGAGUGAACUCCCCUGUUCAGAAGAACCUCUUCCCACCCUGCAGUCUGAGUUCCUGAGGUCUGGCGCAUGGACAUUUCCUGUAGCCAAACACCAGACCCCUCCUUUCUCUCUGCCCUAUACAGGAACAUCUUUGGCAGUGGAACCACAGAGGUAAAAAUGUCAGCUCUAAGAACAGGCUGCAGGAAAUGCUGUCAAGUGACUGCUGGAACAGAUCCCAUGGGAUCUGUCGGUGCAAGACAGCUGUUCAGGUUGAGUAGAGCUCCUGCCUGGGCCAGCUGUGUCCAAAUGAGCUGGUACUGUUGCCUCCUACCCCUGGCAGAUGGGACCGAUGGCAGUGGGCUCCUCAUGCAGUCAGGCAGAAGGCUCCUGUUCCCUAUGGGAAGGCAGCACAACUGGUCUGGGUUGCAAAGCAUUUAGGGAAGAUGCCAGUCUUGCCAUUGCAAUGUCCUUCAAGCCAGUCCUCGUUCACUGAGAAAACAAGAAGAGUCAAGAUAAGCUCUGGCUCAUAGGAGCAAGACUCUUUCAGGGAGCCUGCAGACAAGACUGGAGAGCUACCUUCAGAGAGAAUAUCCAGCACAUCCCCCUUGCUGAACUCCAGGUCUCCUGGUCCCUGUGCCGAGUAUGAGUGCUGAGCCAGCAUCCGGUAGAGGAUGGGUCUGCCUGAGUGGGAGUCCGAGUCCUACAGCAGAAAAUCAGCACGAAGGUUGCAAGGAACAGCAGAGACUAGAUUAGGGCCCAGCACAGCAGAGACACUUGUCACAGCCCACGUACCUGGCAGCAGAGUGUGAUCCUGCCAUCUGUCAGCUGCUGCCACAUCUUCUCUAGAUCUUCCUCUCCCGAAACUGCACCUAGUUCUUUGCCAUCCAAAUGCCUGUAGCUGUAAGGGUUCAUUAACGUGACUCAAAUCAUAUGAUCUAAAGACAAACAUUUAGGCAAUUCUAGCCUUCUACAAUCUUCAGUCCGCAAAGCUCUCUUUGUAAACCAGCUCCAAGCUUGUCACCUUGUGCAAUGACAAGGGGUCACCCUGCAUGCUGAAUGGGCACAAAUGGCACUGUUGGGGAGGGUCUUGCCUCCUAAGACUCCUACUUGAGGGGUAGGUCCAAAUCUCUCAUGUCUGCACCAACUGAGAGUCCCCAGGGAUGUCACGGUCAGGGAUACCCACCCCAGGACUAGCUCACACUGAAUUCCUAGAUCGCUCUGCAUUGAUCCCAGUGUGUCUUUAAGGCUGGGCAGAAGAAAAUUCAAUAUACAGCAGCUGCAUCUGUACGAAGUUUUUCCUUCUGUUUCUUUUUUUCUUGACAAUGGCAGUUUCCUUGGAAAGCUCCUCCAGUCUCCAAAGCCUGUGGAUCACAUUCUGUUCCCCAAAUGCUAGACUGCUUUGGUGCUGGAGACCAGACACGGUCAGAUAGACGCCUGUGUCCUCAGGGAAAUCACUGCUGCCAAACACUGCAAGGACAGCAUGCACAGUGAGUGCUGGAGGACGCCGUACCUCAGCCUCCCACGCUCUGCCUGCUGGCCAAAGCGCUCCCGGAGCAGUGCCCGCAGCGCCGGCACGGAGGGCACCUCGCCUGCCCUCACCACCACCGUGCACUCACAACGCACUCGCAGCACAGCUGGUCUGUCUGUGCUGGAUGAAGCUUCUCUGUGGGUGAGUGGGCUCUGCAGAGAGAUGUCGCAACACAGACAGCUUGGUUAUUCAAGGGAGCUUUUAUCAUGAAAGCUGGCAGACGCAAGAUCUUGCUUCAGUGCGGCCGUAGUGGCAAGGAAGCAUCAAAAUGAAGAUUUGAGUUUUAGAGAGGGAAAAUGUGGGUUCAAAGCCUAGGACCAAAUGUUCCUGUCAUGACCCAGGAAGCCUGUUUCCGGCUCAGAUAUUAAAAAAAACAACCUCUAAAGGUAAACGUGUAUGAGCCGAGCCCCAAGUCCUCCACACAACUGGAGAGGUGCAGCCAAGGCCCAUGUCCUGCUGCCUUCUGUCAGAAGUACAGCUCCAAAACAAGACCCCCAAAUCCCUGCAAACAUGGGCAGUGAAGACGAAGGGAUAAGAGCUGAUCUGCAGCUGGCACUGCUAGAGAGGUGCUGACCGCAAAUAGACACAAAAGCAGUUCCAGCUCCACCACACUUUGGCUGGCAAUGACAUGGAGCUGGAUUGGAUGGUAUUAUCCGACAAGAAAGCUAGUAUGAACGUUUGAAUUAUCAUCAUAAGCAGACUGACAAGGACAGAAGAUGAUACACGGGAGGAGGGGGACAAGGGAUAGCAGGUAGUUCAGAGGCAAAAUGGGCUGCAAGCUGGGCACUGCUGUGCCUGGGGCUUUUGGCUCCUAGGAAGAUGGCAAAAGAGCUCUGCCCUGGGAAACCUCAACUGUGGGGCUGCCUCACAGAGCUGCAGGGUCAUGAAAUCAGGAGCGAUGGAGGAAAGGCCCCGUAAGCUCUCCGUGGAAAGGAAAAAUGGGCAGAGGAAGAGGUUUUGUGUUUUUUUUUUCCAGUGAUUUUGGGGCAGCUCAGGAAUUUUGAAGCACCUGGCCAUAAUCUGAUCCUUUACGCUUUUUGUAUCCUUCAUUUCCUAAGGCUGUGGCAGCGUCAGUUUGUUAAACACCUUACCUCAAAAUCCACUUGGGAUCCAGAAUCAUUUGCAGAAACAUUUUCUUCCCCAGGAGAAUCUACAGAAUGAGAGCACAAAAACAGCACCUGCAAUCAGCAGAGGUCCCACACAGCUCUUCUGCAACCCACCAGCACACAGGCAGCCACUGCU
Molecule: long non-coding RNA, 2953 nt
Filed under: Gallus gallus (chicken)
Lineage: Eukaryota; Metazoa; Chordata; Aves; Galliformes; Phasianidae
Description: long non-coding RNA NONGGAT003036
Source: RNAcentral